Molecule: ribosomal RNA, 253 nt
Filed under: uncultured bacterium
Lineage: Bacteria
Description: partial 16S ribosomal RNA
Rfam family: Bacterial small subunit ribosomal RNA
Source: RNAcentral
UACGUAGGGUCCGAGCGUUGUCCGGAGUUACUGGGCGUAAAGCGCGCGCAGGCGGCCGCCCAAGUCCGGCGUGAAAGCCCCCGGCUCAACCGGGGAGGGUCGCCGGGGACUGGGCGGCUUGGAGGCGGCAGGGGCCGGUGGAAUUCCCGGUGUAGUGGUGAAAUGCGUAGAGAUCGGGAGGAACACCCGUGGCGAAGGCGGCCGGCUGGGCCGUCCUCGACGCUGAGGCGCGAAGGCGUGGGGAGCGAACGGG